RNAcentral lists this ribosomal RNA (253 nucleotides) under uncultured bacterium. Its description in RNAcentral is "partial 16S ribosomal RNA". It matches the Rfam family "Bacterial small subunit ribosomal RNA", at positions 524 to 776 of the family's 1533-position model. The record is from RNAcentral.
UACGAACUGUGCAAACGUUAUUCGGAAUCACUGGGCUUACAGGGUGCGUAGGCGGCUUGUUAAGUAGGGUGUGAAAGCCCCCGGCUCAACCGGGGAAUUGCGCUCUAAACUGGCGAGCUGGAGUGAGAUAGGGGUGUGUGGAACUUCCGGUGGAGCGGUGAAAUGUGUUGAUAUCGGAAGGAACGCCGGUGGCGAAAGCGGCGCACUGGACCAUAACUGACGCUGAGGCGCGAAAGCUAGGGGAGCAAACAGG